RNAcentral lists this non-coding RNA (148 nucleotides) under Chlorocebus sabaeus (green monkey). Lineage: Eukaryota; Metazoa; Chordata; Mammalia; Primates; Cercopithecidae. The record is from Rfam by way of RNAcentral.
GCCAGGUGUGGUGGCGGGUGCCUGUAAUCCCAGCUACUUGGGAGGCUGAGGCAGGAGGAUAGCUUGAACCCAGGAAGCAGAGGUUGCAGUGAGCUGAGAUCAUGCCACUGUACUCCAGCCUGGGUGACAGAGCAAGACUCUGUCUCAA